Long non-coding RNA from Cyprinus carpio (common carp), 979 nucleotides. RefSeq lists it as uncharacterized. Lineage: Eukaryota; Metazoa; Chordata; Actinopteri; Cypriniformes; Cyprinidae. The record is from RefSeq and is a predicted model, not a curated record. The transcript is spliced from 2 exons.
UGUAACGGAUUUUUGUAAUUUGAACAGUAUUUUACUGUAAUAUGUACAGUAUAAUACUGUUAAAUGUGCCAACAGUAUAAUACUGUAAAUAGCAAAGGAUUAUGGGAAAAUAUAUGUUUAGUACUGUAAUUAUUCUCUACUGUAAAUCGAUUUACAGUAGCGACAAUGCCCGCGAAAAAACUGACCAAUGACAACGGAGAAUUCUUUUCAAGUUUUUUUUUUCGGUUGGUUGGGACAACUGAGGAAAGACUCAACAAAAAGGUUAGUAUUGUUUCUGUAAUUAUUUUAUGUAAAACCGAGAUAUUUUCAAAUGCAGUCAUUUAUUAACAGCAACCUAACACGAACCAGUGUUGCAAAUUGAGUGAGUUGUUAAUGUGAGGACAAUAUUCCUGUCGUCAAGAGACUUUUUUUCUGCCUGUUUUUCAAGGCGUGAGGUAAUGUUACAAUUUUUACUGCCGUCAUCAUUAUGACAACUUCAACGGGGUGAAUAAACUUUACAUUGACUGAUAUUUAGUGACACAGAAACAAAAUAAGCCUUUUUUUAAUGCUCCUCUGCCUCUUUAAUGUAAAUUAGCUAAGCAGGAGGACUCUGUGGAAACUUUACGUUAACCGCAAAAUAUAUUGAAUGACGAAAAGAAAAGUGAGGCAACACUAAAGAUAGAGGUUGUAUUAUAACAGUAUUUUGAAGUGAAUAUUUUGUUUUCAUUUAAAGUAUUUUCCUGCUAGAACCGCGGAACGUCGGAGGUGUCUUGGAGUUAUUUUCUGGCGGUUACCGUCAUCUGAGGAAACUGGUUCAUUCUGAGAAUAAACCCUGAUGGCACCAAAAUCAAAAUCACAGAUCAGCCGGGCAUCUGGAAAAAGGAUGCAGAGAAAAAUCGCCAGCCUGAAUCCCCUUGUGGCAUCUUUCAUCAGAGAGCUUGUUGAAUUCGAUUGGCAAAAUUAUUGAAAGAAAACACGACUAAAACAUGUUUUUACUGUU